Molecule: ribosomal RNA, 253 nt
Filed under: uncultured bacterium
Lineage: Bacteria
Description: partial 16S ribosomal RNA
Rfam family: Bacterial small subunit ribosomal RNA
Source: RNAcentral
GACAGAGGGUGCAAACGUUGUUCGGAAUUACUGGGCGUAAAGCGCGUGUAGGCGGCACUACAAGUCGGAUGUGAAAUCCCGCGGCUUAACCGUGGAAGUGCACCCGAAACUGUAGAGCUAGAGUCCCGGAGAGGAUGGUGGAAUACUUGGUGUAGAGGUGAAAUUCGUAGAUAUCAAGUGGAACACCGGUGGCGAAGGCGGCCAUCUGGACGGUGACUGACGCUGAGACACGAAAGCCAGGGGAGCAAACGGG